Eptesicus fuscus (big brown bat) is the source of this 584-nucleotide long non-coding RNA. RefSeq lists it as uncharacterized. The transcript has 3 exons. NCBI's taxonomy places the organism in Eukaryota, Metazoa, Chordata, Mammalia, Chiroptera, Vespertilionidae. The record is from RefSeq and is a predicted model, not a curated record.
CGCCCCGCCCUCCUGCUCCGGAGCCGGCCUGGGACCGGAAGCGACGCCACGGCCUGGGAGUCCCGCUCCGGGACUCCGCCCUCGGAAGCUGCAAGAAAACUACAGUUCCCAGCUGCCCGCGCAGCAUAGGCGCAAACCUUGGACCGGGAGUUCUCGUGAAUGCCACGAGACUGCGGCUUGGGAUUCGGGCGUGCUCUCUGCUGUGGGAGGUGAGCCGGCUGUGCGCCUGGAGACCGCCCAUCGGUUUCCUCAUGGCGCUGUGAAUGGAUUCUGGGGAUGACUUUGCAUUUCCAUCACCAAUGACUCCCCCAGUCCUGGUCUGCUGACAGAAAUUGAGUAGACUAUAGCUGUUCUGCCUAUACUAUCUCUGACUUCAAGAUGUCCAUAUAUUGUCCUGCUUUCUUCAGUCAUCUGUAAAGGUGAAAAUCAACAACAACAACAAAAUGUUGCUAUGAGGAUUAGAUGAGCUCAGGAAGGUGAAAGUGCCAAGAGAAGAGUCGCUUGAGAGAAGGAACCAUCUUAUUCAUCUCUGCAUCACCAGGGACUGGAACAUUGUUGGUAAUUGAUACAUUUUUAAAAAUACA